ACAUACGACCAUAGGGUGUGGAAAACAGGGCUUCCCGUCCGCUCAGCCGUACUUAAGCCACACGCCGGUGAGUUAGUAGUUGGGUGGGUGACCACCAGCGAAUCCUCACUGUUGUAUGUUU
RNAcentral lists this ribosomal RNA (121 nucleotides) under Penicillium nalgiovense. The record is from RNAcentral. Lineage: Eukaryota; Fungi; Ascomycota; Eurotiomycetes; Eurotiales; Aspergillaceae. RNAcentral also lists the same sequence under 3 other names.